CAACUCGCCUACAUGAAGCUGGAAUCGCUAGUAAUCGCGGAUCAGCAUGCCGCGGUGAAUACGUUCCCGGGCCUUGUACACACCGCCCGUCACACCACGAGAGUUUGUAACACCCGAAGUCGGUGGAGUAACCGUAAGGAGCUAGCCGCCUAAGGUGGGACAGAUGAUUGGGGUGAAGUCGUAACAAGGUAGCCGUAUCGGAAGGUGCGGCUGGAUCACCUCCUUUCUAAGGA
This 233-nucleotide ribosomal RNA is filed under the name Priestia megaterium. Its description in RNAcentral is "Bacillus megaterium partial 16S ribosomal RNA". It matches the Rfam family "Bacterial small subunit ribosomal RNA", at positions 1308 to 1533 of the family's 1533-position model. Lineage: Bacteria; Bacillati; Bacillota; Bacilli; Caryophanales; Bacillaceae. The record is from RNAcentral.